Triticum dicoccoides is the source of this 1677-nucleotide long non-coding RNA. RefSeq lists it as uncharacterized. The transcript has 3 exons. The record is from RefSeq and is a predicted model, not a curated record. NCBI's taxonomy places the organism in Eukaryota, Viridiplantae, Streptophyta, Magnoliopsida, Poales, Poaceae.
GCCAACAAUUGACCGGUGGGCGACUGUCCCAGUUUUCUCUCCUUCUACAUCCAGUCCUCUUCCUUCAUCCCCACCUCUCCCUUCCACCAACCCCCGGCCGCCGGCGUAUGGAAGCCACGGGCUCCCCUAUGCAUCCUCGCCGGAUUCCGACCCCCAGCACUCUCCGCUCAUCCGUGCCGCACGCCGCCACUUCCUCCCCCACAGGAACACCUCGAGGUUGAACCCGACGGAAAGUGACUCCACCCGUGACUCAUCCUAUUCUCUCUACGAUAUCUAUCCGGGCAUGGAAUUCGCAGUCCAGCGGCUGGAUUCGCGAGAUCCGGGCCUCAGGGUCACACCCGUGUGGUAGAUCUGUGUGCACGCAUGGCUCACGUGGUGGUGGCAUCGCAUGGCUGAUAAAAGCUGGUCAAAUAUCAUGAUUUGCACCUCGCGUACAGCUCUUGGUUGGCCCAGCGCGUGAGGAUUCGCUGGAAUUGUCGGCCCAGAUCAUGUUUAUUUGAUGCUACUAUGUCUCUUGUUUGCGUCUGCAAAUUCAACGGGAUUGACUACAUUUCCUGCAUAGUAGUGAGAUAAUCUGUGAUUUUUCUUGUUUCAGUGUCCUACCCGUUGCCCGAGGUCAAAGUUUGUUCAUCAUCCGAGCUCAUUUAGAUACAAGAGGAUGCUGCCAUUUCUCAUGGAGAACGGUGGCCAAGCUCAGAAAAUUUUCUGAAGAUAAACAAACUGUCAUCAGAUGAGAUUUAAUCUGCCACCGUAGAAGUUUCUCUGGAGAGCACUGUAGAAAGCCACACCAGAAUAAGAGUUAGCUUCAGUUGGGGACCCACUGCCGUGCGUACAUUGCUCCAAAGGUUUUGCAGGUUAUGGGAGUAAAGGAGCUGCUCUAGAUUUGUGCACAUCAUUCUCAGCUACAAAGUCACAUAUACUACUGUGUGGAAAGAUCAAACGAAAAAAACAACAAACCAGAUUAUUGUCUAGUUUGUAGCUAUGUUUUCAUAGUACCUACAAAAUACAUUUCUUUUUUUGGUACAUGGACAUAUGUCCUGCUGUUUUAUGUGUGAAAUAAGACUCUCUAUGCGCUCUCCUAUAUAUUUGCACAUUUUCUGCAUUUUUUGCACAUAGUGCUACAAAUGUUGGCUUGUCACAUGAUUUGGUUGCAUGGAAACCAGUUAAAAUUGCACAUGUACAAGAUCUCCAUAUUUUUUUUAUCUCUGUUUAUGCUCUCUUCAACUAUGAAGAAGCUACUUUUGCAAAGAGAAAUUUUGUGAGGGGGAAAGGGAAAGUCAAUGAGGGGGGAUUUGAAUAUGAGAAGAAAAGGAUCACCUCCUGUUUUAUCCUUGUUGGUGCUACCUGCUCUGGGAUGGAGUCCAAACCUAGGAAACCAUUGUUUCUUGGGGAAGAAGAAGGCAAGGCAGGUAAGGGCGUGGAGAAGUUGGUGGCUAGUGGGUGUGAGAGCUUUGGGAGGGAAGGGAAGUGCACGUGAUGGCCUGGGGUCUGGGGACCGCGCCCAGCGUGUGGUUUGCUGGGUUACGCGCGUCUAUUGCUACUAGGGGAGACCUAUCCUUUUUUGGGAUAGGAGGGGGAUCGUAUAUUUCCUUUUCUGACGGCCGCUCGGGAUUGCUAGCGGGCAGACGGCCGCCCAAUUUUUUGUUGUACAUGUGAUGACAUGGACAUCGUGAGGAG